AACGAACGUUAGCGGUGUGGAUUAGGCAUGCAAGUCGCGCGCGAAAGCCGCAAGGCAAGUAGAGCGGCGAAAGGGUGAGUAACACGUAACCAACGUACCCUUCAGAUCGGAAUAACUGCUGGAAACGGCAGGUAAUGCCGAAUGGUCCGAACAGGGGGCAUCCCCAGUUCGGUAAACGGUGGCGAAAGCUGCUGCUGGAGGAGCGGGGUGCGGCCUAUCAGCUAGUUGGCGGGGUAAUGGCCCACCAAGGCGACGACGGGUACCGGGUCUGAGAGGACGGUCCGGCACACCGGGACUGAGACACUGCCCAGACUCCUACGGGAGGCUGCAGUCGAGAAUCUUCCGCAAUGGGCGAAAGCCUGACGGAGCGACACCGCGUGCAGGAUGAAGG
RNAcentral lists this ribosomal RNA (391 nucleotides) under uncultured bacterium. RNAcentral describes it as "bacterial SSU rRNA". It matches the Rfam family "Bacterial small subunit ribosomal RNA", at positions 29 to 414 of the family's 1533-position model. The record is from RNAcentral.